GAGGUUAUAGCUCAGUGGUAGAGUGUGUGCUUAGCAUGCAUGAGGUCCUGGGUUCAAUCUCCAGUACCUCCA
RNAcentral lists this transfer RNA (72 nucleotides) under Camelus bactrianus (Bactrian camel). It matches the Rfam family "tRNA". From Rfam's summary of the family: Transfer RNA (tRNA) molecules are approximately 80 nucleotides in length. Lineage: Eukaryota; Metazoa; Chordata; Mammalia; Artiodactyla; Camelidae. The record is from Rfam by way of RNAcentral. RNAcentral also lists the same sequence under 2 other names.